Acanthosepion pharaonis is the source of this 113-nucleotide non-coding RNA. The record is from the annotation of a GenBank genome assembly. NCBI's taxonomy places the organism in Eukaryota, Metazoa, Mollusca, Cephalopoda, Sepiida, Sepiidae.
UUACGGCCAUAUCACGUUGCAACACCGGUUCUCGUAAAAUCAGCGAAGUUAAGCAACGUUAAGCCUGGUCAGUAUUUAGAUGGGUGACUACUUCGGAAUACCAGGUGAUGUAA